Molecule: ribosomal RNA, 481 nt
Filed under: uncultured bacterium
Lineage: Bacteria
Description: partial 16S ribosomal RNA
Rfam family: Bacterial small subunit ribosomal RNA
Source: RNAcentral
GAUGAACGCUGGCGGCGUGCUUAACACAUGCAAGUCGAACGAAGCACUUUAUUUGAUUUCCUUCGGGACUGAUUAUUUUGUGACUGAGUGGCGGACGGGUGAGUAACGCGUGGGUAACCUGCCUUGUACAGGGGGAUAACAGUUGGAAACGGCUGCUAAUACCGCAUAAGCGCACAGCAUCGCAUGAUGCAGUGUGAAAAACUCCGGUGGUAUAAGAUGGACCCGCGUUGGAUUAGCUAGUUGGUGAGGUAACGGCCCACCAAGGCGACGAUCCAUAGCCGACCUGAGAGGGUGACCGGCCACAUUGGGACUGAGACACGGCCCAAACUCCUACGGGAGGCAGCAGUGGGGAAUAUUGCACAAUGGGCGAAAGCCUGAUGCAGCGACGCCGCGUGAGCGAAGAAGUAUUUCGGUAUGUAAAGCUCUAUCAGCAGGGAAGAUAAUGACGGUACCUGAAUAAGAAGCACCGGCUAAAUACGUG